This 253-nucleotide ribosomal RNA is filed under the name uncultured bacterium. RNAcentral's name for it is "partial 16S ribosomal RNA". It matches the Rfam family "Bacterial small subunit ribosomal RNA", at positions 524 to 776 of the family's 1533-position model. The record is from RNAcentral.
UACGUAGGGUGCGAGCGUUGUCCGGAAUUAUUGGGCGUAAAGCGCGCGCAGGCGGCCUUUUAAGUCUGAUGUGAAAUCUUGCGGCUCAACCGCAAGCGGCCAUUGGAAACUGGGAGGCUUGAGUACAGAAGAGGAGAGUGGAAUUCCACGUGUAGCGGUGAAAUGCGUAGAUAUGUGGAGGAACACCAGUGGCGAAGGCGACUCUCUGGUCUGUAACUGACGCUGAGGCGCGAAAGCGUGGGGAGCAAACAGG